Molecule: ribosomal RNA, 425 nt
Filed under: uncultured bacterium
Lineage: Bacteria
Description: partial 16S ribosomal RNA
Rfam family: Bacterial small subunit ribosomal RNA
Source: RNAcentral
GUGAGGAAUAUUGGUCAAUGGGCGAAAGCCUGACGCAGCCAUGCCGCGUGGAUGAUGAAGGUCUUAGGAUUGUAAAAUCCUUUCACCGGUGAAGAUAAUGACUGUAGCCGGAGAAGAAGCCCCGGCUAACUUCGUGCCAGCAGCCGCGGUAAUACGAAGGGGGCUAGCGUUGCUCGGAUUUACUGGGCGUAAAGGGCGCGUAGGCGGACAUUUAAGUCAGGGGUGAAAUCCCGGGGCUCAACCUCGGAACUGCCUUGGAUACUGGGUGUCUUGAGUAUGAGAGAGGUGUGUGGAACUCCGAGUGUAGAGGUGAAAUUCGUAGAUAUUCGGAAGAACACCAGUGGCGAAGGCGACACACUGGCUCAUUACUGACGCUGAGGCGCGAACGCGUGGGGAGCAAACAGGAUUAGAUACCCGAGUAGUCC